RNAcentral lists this small nucleolar RNA (138 nucleotides) under Procavia capensis (Cape rock hyrax). RNAcentral's name for it is "Small nucleolar RNA SNORA29 (ENSPCAG00000019284.1)". It matches the Rfam family "Small nucleolar RNA SNORA29". Rfam says of the family: ACA29 is a member of the H/ACA class of snoRNA that guide the sites of modification of uridines to pseudouridines. The record is from RNAcentral. Lineage: Eukaryota; Metazoa; Chordata; Mammalia; Hyracoidea; Procaviidae.
UUCCCUGUUUGACUACCACUUCAAAUCUUAAUAAUAGGUUGUAGUGGUUAUGCUUCUGGGAAAGAUCAAAAUUGCCAUGAUCUGAAGGGGAGGGUCUUUUGUGUCCUCUUCCUGUAUGAAAUGGCCAUACAGAAAAUG